This 482-nucleotide ribosomal RNA is filed under the name uncultured Williamsia sp. Its description in RNAcentral is "partial 16S ribosomal RNA". Lineage: Bacteria; Bacillati; Actinomycetota; Actinomycetes; Mycobacteriales; Nocardiaceae. The record is from RNAcentral.
CACGUAGUUGGCCGGUGCUUCUUCUCCAGGUACCGUCAAUCACUCUUCGUCCCUGGUGAAAGAGGUUUACAACCCGAAGGCCGUCAUCCCUCACGCGGCGUCGCUGCAUCAGGCUUGCGCCCAUUGUGCAAUAUUCCCCACUGCUGCCUCCCGUAGGAGUCUGGGCCGUGUCUCAGUCCCAGUGUGGCCGGUCGCCCUCUCAGGCCGGCUACCCGUCGCCGCCUUGGUAGGCCAUUACCCCCACCAACAAGCUGAUAGGCCGCGGGCCCAUCUCGUACCGAAAAACUUUCCACCACCAGACAUGCAUCCAGAGGUCAUAUUCGGUAUUAGACCCAGUUUCCCAGGCUUAUCCCAAAGUACGAGGCAGAUCACCCACGUGUUACUCACCCGUUCGCCACUCGAGUACCCCGAAGGGCCUUUCCGUUCGACUUGCAUGUGUUAAGCACGCCGCCAGCGUUCGUCCUGAGCCAGGAUCAAACUCU